CAGGUCCAAGCUGUGCACGUCUAGACAGACUGCCGUGGACAACACGGAGGAAGGUGGGGAUGACGUCAAAUCAUCAUGGCCCUUACGGCCUGGGCUACACACGUGCUACAAUGGUCGGUACAAAGGGUUGCCAAGCCGCGAGGUGGAGCUAAUCCCAUAAAACCGAUCGUAGUCCGGAUCGCAGUCUGCAACUCGACUGCGUGAAGUCGGAAUCGCUAGUAAUCGUGAAUCAGAAUGUCACGGUGAAUACGUUCCCGGGCCUU
Molecule: ribosomal RNA, 263 nt
Filed under: uncultured Pseudomonas sp.
Lineage: Bacteria; Pseudomonadati; Pseudomonadota; Gammaproteobacteria; Pseudomonadales; Pseudomonadaceae
Description: partial 16S ribosomal RNA
Rfam family: Bacterial small subunit ribosomal RNA
Source: RNAcentral